GGGGUGACUGCGUACCUUUUGUAUAAUGGGUCAGCGACUUAUAUUCUGUAGCAAGGUUAACCGCAUAGGGGAGCCGAAGGGAAACCGAGUCUUAACCGGGCGUUAAGUUGCAGGGUAUAGACCCGAAACCCGGUGAUCUAGCCAUGGGCAGGUUGAAGGUUGGGUAACACUAACUGGAGGACCGAACCGACUAAUGUUGAAAAAUUAGCGGAUGACCUGUGGCUGGGGGUGAAAGGCCAAUCAAACCGGGAGAUAGCUGGUUCUCCCCGAAAGCUAUUUAGGUAGCGCCUCGUGAAUUCAUCUCCGGGGGUAGAGCACUGUUUCGGCUAGGGGGCCAUCCCGGCUUACCAACCCGAUGCAAACUGCGAAUACCGGAGAAUGUUAUCACGGGAGACACACGGCGGGUGCUAACGUCCGUCGUGAAGAGGGAAACAACCCAGACCGCCAGCUAAGGUCCCAAAGUCAUGGUUAAGUGGGAAACGAUGUGGGAAGGCCCAGACAGCCAGGAUGUUGGCUUAGAAGCAGCCAUCAUUUAAAGAAAGCGUAAUAGCUCACUGGUCGAGUCGGCCUGCGCGGAAGAUGUAACGGGGCUAAACCAUGCACCGAAGCUGCGGCAGCGACACUUUAGUGUUGUUGGGUAGGGGAGCGUUCUGUAAGCCGUUGAAGGUGUCCUGUGAGGGGUGCUGGAGGUAUCAGAAGUGCGAAUGCUGACAUAAGUAACGAUAAAGCGGGUGAAAAGCCCGCUCGCCGGAAGACCAAGGGUUCCUGUCCAACGUUAAUCGGGGCAGGGUGAGUCGACCCCUAAGGCGAGGCCGAAAGGCGUAGUCGAUGGGAAACGGGUUAAUAUUCCCGUACUUGGUGUUACUGCGAAGGGGGGACGGAGAAGGCUAUGUUGGCCGGGCGACGGUAGUCCCGGUUUAAGCGUGUAGGCUGGUUUUCCAGGCAAAUCCGGAAAAUCAAGGCUGAGGCGUGAUGACGAGGCACCACGGUGCUGAAGCAACAAAUGCCCUGCUUCCAGGAAAAGCCUCUAAGCAUCAGGUAACAUCAAAUCGUACCCCAAACCGACACAGGUGGUCAGGUAGAGAAUACCAAGGCGCUUGAGAGAACUCGGGUGAAGGAACUAGGCAAAAUGGUGCCGUAACUUCGGGAGAAGGCACGCUGACACGUAGGUGAAGUGAUUUACUCACGGAGCUGAAGUCAGUCGAAGAUACCAGCUGGCUGCAACUGUUUAUUAAAAACACAGCACUGUGCAAACACGAAAGUGGACGUAUACGGUGUGACGCCUGCCCGGUGCCGGAAGGUUAAUUGAUGGGGUCAGCGCAAGCGAAGCUCCUGAUCGAAGCCCCGGUAAACGGCGGCCGUAACUAUAACGGUCCUAAGGUAGCGAAAUUCCUUGUCGGGUAAGUUCCGACCUGCACGAAUGGCGUAAUGAUGGCCAGGCUGUCUCCACCCGAGACUCAGUGAAAUUGAACUCGCUGUGAAGAUGCAGUGUACCCGCGGCAAGACGGAAAGACCCCGUGAACCUUUACUAUAGCUUGACACUGAACAUUGAGCCUUGAUGUGUAGGAUAGGUGGGAGGCUUUGAAGCGUGGACGCCAGUCUGCGUGGAGCCGACCUUGAAAUACCACCCUUUAAUGUUUGAUGUUCUAACGUGGACCCGUAAUCCGGGUUGCGGACAGUGUCUGGUGGGUAGUUUGACUGGGGCGGUCUCCUCCUAAAGAGUAACGGAGGAGCACGAAGGUUGGCUAAUCCUGGUCGGACAUCAGGAGGUUAGUGCAAUGGCAUAAGCCAGCUUGACUGCGAGCGUGACGGCGCGAGCAGGUGCGAAAGCAGGUCAUAGUGAUCCGGUGGUUCUGAAUGGAAGGGCCAUCGCUCAACGGAUAAAAGGUACUCCGGGGAUAACAGGCUGAUACCGCCCAAGAGUUCAUAUCGACGGCGGUGUUUGGCACCUCGAUGUCGGCUCAUCACAUCCUGGGGCUGAAGUAGGUCCCAAGGGUAUGGCUGUUCGCCAUUUAAAGUGGUACGCGAGCUGGGUUUAGAACGUCGUGAGACAGUUCGGUCCCUAUCUGCCGUGGGCGCUGGAAGAUUGAGGGGGGCUGCUCCUAGUACGAGAGGACCGGAGUGGACGCAUCACUGGUGUUCGGGUUGUCAUGCCAAUGGCACUGCCCGGUAGCUAAAUGCGGAAAAGAUAAGUGCUGAAAGCAUCUAAGCACGAAACUUGCCCCGAGAUGAGUCUUCCCUGAGACUUUGAGUCUCCUGAAGGAACGUUAAAGACGAUGACGUUGAUAGGCCGGGUGUGUAAGCGCAGCGAUGCGUUGAGCUAACCGGUACUAAUGAACCGUGAGGCUUAACCUUACAACGCCGAAG
Molecule: ribosomal RNA, 2367 nt
Filed under: Salmonella enterica subsp. diarizonae serovar 59:[k]:z35
Lineage: Bacteria; Pseudomonadati; Pseudomonadota; Gammaproteobacteria; Enterobacterales; Enterobacteriaceae
Description: bacterial LSU rRNA
Rfam family: Bacterial large subunit ribosomal RNA
Source: RNAcentral